AGAACGAACGCUGGCGGCAUGCCUAACACAUGCAAGUCGAACGCGUGACUUCGGUCACGAGUGGCGCACGGGUGAGUAACGCGUGGGAACCUGCCCCGAGGUGGGGGAUAACCGAUGGAAACGUCGGCUAAUACCGCAUACGACCUAAGGGUGAAAGAUUUAUCGCCUUGGGAGGGGCCCGCGUCGGAUUAGCUAGUUGGUGGGGUAACGGCCUACCAAGGCGAUGAUCCGUAGCUGGUCUGAGAGGAUGAUCAGCCACACUGGGACUGAGACACGGCCCAGACUCCUACGGGAGGCAGCAGUGGGGAAUAUUGGACAAUGGGCGCAAGCCUGAUCCAGCAAUGCCGCGUGAGUGAUGAAGGCCUUAGGGUUGUAAAGCUCUUUCGGCGGGGACGAUGAUGACGGUACCGCAAGAUAAGCCCCGGCUAACUUCGUGCCAGCAGCCGC
RNAcentral lists this ribosomal RNA (447 nucleotides) under uncultured bacterium. Its description in RNAcentral is "SSU rRNA". It matches the Rfam family "Bacterial small subunit ribosomal RNA", at positions 26 to 518 of the family's 1533-position model. The record is from RNAcentral.